Molecule: ribosomal RNA, 433 nt
Filed under: uncultured bacterium
Lineage: Bacteria
Description: partial 16S ribosomal RNA
Rfam family: Bacterial small subunit ribosomal RNA
Source: RNAcentral
AACGAACGCUGGCGGCAUGCCUAACACAUGCAAGUCGAACGAGACCUUCGGGUCUAGUGGCGCACGGGUGCGUAACGCGUGGGAACCUGCCCUUAGGUUCGGAAUAACUCCCCGAAAGGGGUGCUAAUACCGGAUAAUGUUUUCGGGCCAAAGAUUUAUCGCCUUUGGAUGGGCCCGCGUUGGAUUAGCUAGUUGGUAGGGUAAAAGCCUACCAAGGCGACGAUCCAUAGCUGGUCUGAGAGGAUGAUCAGCCACACUGGGACUGAGACACGGCCCAGACUCCUACGGGAGGCAGCAGUGGGGAAUAUUGGAAAAUGGGCGAAAGCCUGAUCCAGCAAUGCCGCGUGAGUGAUGAAGGCAUUAGGGUUGUAAAGCUCUUUUACCCGGGAUGAUAAUGACAGUACCGGGAGAAUAAGCUCCGGCUAACUCCGUG